GAGUUUGAUCUUGGCUCAGAUUGAACGCUGGCGGCAUGCCUUACACAUGCAAGUCGAACGGCAGCAUGAUCUAGCUUGCUAGAUUGAUGGCGAGUGGCGAACGGGUGAGUAAUACAUCGGAACGUGCCCUGUAGUGGGGAUAACUAGUCGAAAGACUAGCUAAUACCGCAUACGACCUGAGGGUGAAAGUGGGGGACCGCAAGGCCUCAUGCUAUAGGAGCGGCCGAUGUCUGAUUAGCUAGUUGGUGGGGUAAAGGCCCACCAAGGCGACGAUCAGUAGCUGGUCUGAGAGGACGAUCAGCCACACUGGGACUGAGACACGGCCCAGACUCCUACGGGAGGCAGCAGUGGGGAAUUUUGGACAAUGGGCGAAAGCCUGAUCCAGCAAUGCCGCGUGUGUGAAGAAGGCCUCGGUGU
RNAcentral lists this ribosomal RNA (417 nucleotides) under uncultured microorganism. RNAcentral describes it as "bacterial SSU rRNA". It matches the Rfam family "Bacterial small subunit ribosomal RNA", at positions 9 to 423 of the family's 1533-position model. The record is from RNAcentral.